CCUACGGGAGGCAGCAGUGAGGAAUAUUGGUCAAUGGGCGAGAGCCUGAACCAGCCAAGUCGCGUGAAGGAUGACUGUCUUAUGGAUUGUAAACUUCUUUUAUACGGGAAUAACAAGAGUCACGUGUGGCUCCCUGCAUGUACCGUAUGAAUAAGCAUCGGCUAACUCCGUGCCAGCAGCCGCGGUAAUACGGAGGAUGCGAGCGUUAUCCGGAUUUAUUGGGUUUAAAGGGUGCGUAGGCGGCCUGUUAAGUCAGCGGUGAAAUCUAGGAGCUUAACUCCUAAAUUGCCAUUGAUACUGGCGGGCUUGAGUGUAGAUGAGGUAGGCGGAAUGCGUGGUGUAGCGGUGGAAUGCAUAGAUAUCACGCAGAACUCCGAUUGCGAAGGCAGCUUACUAAGGUACAACUGACGCUGAAGCACGAAAGCGUGGGUAUCAAACAGGAUUAGAUACCCGGGUAGUC
This 460-nucleotide ribosomal RNA is filed under the name uncultured Porphyromonas sp. RNAcentral's name for it is "bacterial SSU rRNA". It matches the Rfam family "Bacterial small subunit ribosomal RNA", at positions 338 to 795 of the family's 1533-position model. Lineage: Bacteria; Pseudomonadati; Bacteroidota; Bacteroidia; Bacteroidales; Porphyromonadaceae. The record is from RNAcentral.